This 253-nucleotide ribosomal RNA is filed under the name uncultured bacterium. RNAcentral's name for it is "partial 16S ribosomal RNA". It matches the Rfam family "Bacterial small subunit ribosomal RNA", at positions 524 to 776 of the family's 1533-position model. The record is from RNAcentral.
UACGGAGGGUGCAAGCGUUAUUCGGAAUUACUGGGCGUAAAGCGUGCGUAGGCGGUUAUGUAAGUCAGUGGUGAAAUCCCAGGGCUCAACCCUGGAACUGCCUUUGAGACUGCAUCGCUUGAAUCCCGUAGAGGUGAGUGGAAUUCCGCGUGUAGCGGUGAAAUGCGUAGAUAUGCGGAAGAACACCGAUGGCGAAGGCAGCUCGCUGGACUGGUAUUGACGCUGAGGCACGAAAGCGUGGGGAGCAAACAGG